GCCUGGGUGGCUCAGUCGGUUGAGCGUCCGACUUCAGCUCAGGUCACGAUCUCACGGUUUGUGAGUUCGAGCCCCACGUCAGGCU
This 85-nucleotide transfer RNA is filed under the name Felis catus (domestic cat). It matches the Rfam family "tRNA". Rfam says of the family: Transfer RNA (tRNA) molecules are approximately 80 nucleotides in length. Their secondary structure includes four short double-helical elements and three loops (D, anti-codon, and T loops). The record is from Rfam by way of RNAcentral. Lineage: Eukaryota; Metazoa; Chordata; Mammalia; Carnivora; Felidae. RNAcentral also lists the same sequence under 2 other names.